This is a long non-coding RNA of Amphimedon queenslandica, 583 nucleotides long. RefSeq lists it as uncharacterized. The transcript is spliced from 4 exons. NCBI's taxonomy places the organism in Eukaryota, Metazoa, Porifera, Demospongiae, Haplosclerida, Niphatidae. The record is from RefSeq and is a predicted model, not a curated record.
UCAAUGUCACUGCAUGAAAUGCAUGAGUAUGAUUUUGAGAUGUUAAUUGAUGAGCCAUCAAUGUCCUCACGAUGGCCUGAAAGGAAACAGUUGUCAACAUUCUCAACAAGUCACUAUGAUGAUGAAAUGUCAGCUGAGCUAACUAAAGAAAGUGCAUACAGUCCUCACAGUAGUACUGCAGGACAGGGAGAAGUAAAAAGAUGCGAUAUUUUAUAACUUCUUAAUGGCAGUAAUACAAAUUUAAAUAAUUUUAGCUUAUUUUUUAUUUUUUGGUAUAAUUUUUAUUAAUAAUUAUUUUUUAAUUAAAGAAAGAAGUAUGUACAACUAAAUGAUUAAAACUCAUACAUGUGUGGUUUUAUGGUGUUAUUCAUUAUUAUUAACUUAUUAUUAUUCAUUAUUAAUUAGUUGGUCAUUUUUGUAUAAAAAGAGACAUUUCUGUUAGUUUUUGUGGGGACUACAAUUGUUAGAGUGCGGGAGUGAGAGCAUAUUGUAUUGUGGCCUUUUUGUCUCUCCAUUGCUCUUUUGAUUCCUGCAUCAUAAUUGAUUUGAUUUGUUUGAGAAAAGAGUUUGUUUUAUUGAAUGG